ACACAAUAAAGAUGUCAGGGGGCAGGCAGUGUGGCAUAGCCGUGGGGCGGCGUCAUCCCUGCGCCUGCCCCUCAAGACUUUUCAAGUGGUACAAACAGCUUCAUUAGCAGCACUUGCCAGUGUUCCCUUGUUGAUCAUCAGCGUGUGUUUCAGAAAUUGAAGUUGGUGGAAAGUAUUCAUGGAGAAAGUCCUAGUCCUGGUCUUCACGGAGCACAGACUCUUUGAAUCGAAGUGUCUAAAAUAGCCAUGUGCGGCUAUUGAGCACUUGAAAUGAUCCUGUUGGAGCAGGAAAUAACCAGGAUGGAAGUAACCUAAGGGAAAGAAGUAGGAGCUCAGAGAGAGCAAGAUGUGACCUUGAGGAAUGG
Molecule: non-coding RNA, 365 nt
Organism: Manis javanica (Malayan pangolin)
Lineage: Eukaryota; Metazoa; Chordata; Mammalia; Pholidota; Manidae
Source: RefSeq, a predicted model, not a curated record